Molecule: long non-coding RNA, 586 nt
Organism: Diabrotica virgifera virgifera (western corn rootworm)
Lineage: Eukaryota; Metazoa; Arthropoda; Insecta; Coleoptera; Chrysomelidae
Exons: 2
Source: RefSeq, a predicted model, not a curated record
CCAUACAGCACAGGUCAUCUUUAAGAUAUCUUAUUUACAACCAAAUAUGGUCUUAAUGUCUUAGGUCUCAAUUAAGACUUUUAAAAGAUAUCUUUAAAACGCCAAAUUUAAGAUAUCUUUAAAACGCCAAAUUUAAGAUAUCUUUUAAACAUCAUAUUUAAGACAUUUUUUCUUAAAAAUAGGUUAUGUUAUAAUUACGAAUUUAAAAGUUAGGUUAGGUUAGUAAAACAUUUAAGACAAGAGCUGGUAGCAAAAAGACAAACUCCAAACAAAAGCUUUUUCACAUCAGUGACUUCAGUAGUAUUUCCCAUAGGUAUGGUUUUAUUUGAGUGAUAUUUAGAAGACUACAGAUUUUAAUAAUGCAGUAGGUAUCGGAGCUUGUUAAAGUAGGAGGAUCAAAAGCCUAUGAUUUUGUAUAAAGAGUUGGAAAAUUAAUUAUUAGCAAUGAGCAAGCUUUAAGUACAGUUGGCUGGGACAAAAAGGCAAACAAAAGUUUUGUGAUACCAGAAUUGCAAAUCUGAUAAUUGGUAAAGCUUAUUCUACAUGUACAUGUAAAAUUUUAAUAGCAAUAAACGUAUUUUUAGAA